UCCCUCACCACGACCUCUCUACUAUUGAAC
This 30-nucleotide non-coding RNA is filed under the name Macaca fascicularis (crab-eating macaque). Lineage: Eukaryota; Metazoa; Chordata; Mammalia; Primates; Cercopithecidae. RNAcentral also lists the same sequence under 1 other name. The record is from RNAcentral.